ACCAGGAAAUAUUAUACAUUAAAAUGCAGUGAGAGGACGAGAGAGCAAAGAUCACACACACCGUGUUUCUGUCACUCUGGUAGUGUGUGCACGAUGACUCGCAGCAGAUCACCCCUCGUCCUUCUGUGGUUCAUUCACAGCACAAUCCCAGUUCUUGAGGCACAAAACCUUGAAGUGUUGCCUGAAGUGACGGGAUACCUCGGACAGGAUGUCACCCUGCAAUGCCAAUUCAUCCCGGGACCAAAACAUGACAAUAUCACCCUGAUUCAGUGGACGCUAAAUACAUCAGGAGGAUCAUUGUUUCGAAUGUUCAAUCAGUUGGUGUUCCCGACACAUUUUUGAAGGGUAGAGUGAAGUUAGCAGAACAAUCUUUGAUUAUUCAAGAUGUGGAAAUGGGAGAUGCAGGGUCGUACACCUGCACCGUUUCAUCUUUUCCCGGAGGAACGUUGGAAGGAACCACCGAACUUGUUGUUGAUGUUGUUGUUGUUGUUAAAGACGGGGUGCACAAAUCAGCAAAAAUAAUUACUGCUGGAGUAUUCUUUCUGAUAGUAGGGACUAUGCUGACCACCACUUUCUUCAUCAUCAGGAAAAGAUACGUUCCAGUGCCAAGUGAUUGAACGAGACGACGUGAGCUGGGAGAUGGUUUUCAGGCCACAUCUUUAAAUUGCCAAAGACAUUUUUUGAUUAGUUUGAACAUUUACACACAAAACAAGCCUUUGUUUAAAGGACUUAAUGCAAAUAACACAGCACUAAAGAGAGGUCUUUGAAAAACAUUCUCCAAUCUGUUGCUGUCAUAGAGGCAGGGGGCAGCAGGCCACAGUUCAAUGAUUCAUUUCCAAAAGUGAAAAUACAAAAAUGUACAGGCAUGGGAAGAAAGUCCAAACUGAUAAUCCUCAGGUAACUGGAGUGGGUCAGAAAAAGGUGCAGACUUCUUCAGGAAAAACUUCAAAGCAAAGACAUGAAGCACCAAACAUACUUACUAGCAUUGGACUGGGGGGGGGGGGGGGGAGGCUGGUCCUGCAGGGAUGAUCAGUGAAAGUGGAAACAGGUGAGUCAGGCGGGAAAGUCUGAGUUCGCUGUGCUCCCGUAAUUCGCCACAGGACGCUUCGCAAACGCUCUGACUGCGCAUGCUCAAACUUCGCUCAACACUACCACUCUGAUUUGAGAAGUUUUCCGAGACAAAUAUAAAGAUUAAAACUAUUGUUUGAAGGAGCAGUUAUGUAAGAAGAUUCCCCCUUAACAACAUAAAUCGUCUUUAAAUCAUUAAAAAGACUGCUAAAUGGCAUUACAUUACUGGCAAUUUAACGUGGUGUGGAUCAGUAACUGCGCAUGCGUAAGAAACACCAGACGCUGCGUAACCUUUUUUUUUCUUAGUUUAUGGCGCAAUAUUUCAUUCAGAAUUAAGGAACCAUUCAGUAGUCAAAAACAUUAAAUGGUGUUGAAUGGUGUUAUAAAGUACAACAUAACAAACACAUCUUACAUCAAACUAAAAGAUAAAAGAAACAAACAUGUCUUGGUUUAAUAAGGACUCCUUAAGGAAUAAGGACAGUUGUGUUACUCUGAGCUGAGAACAUUGGAGGAAUAAAAACACAUCAGGUUUUGGCUUUGUUACAUAUUCUUAAAAGGCUCAUUUUGUAUUUCUUAUUUGCUUUGUUGUUUUCAAUUUGUUAUGUUGAAAUUCAGUGCUUAAGACAUUUGAUUGUGACAACCAUCUGUGCUGUCGGAACACAUGAGAACAAAAUGAGUUUUUGGGAUGUGAAAAAAUACCAACAUAAGGCUUUAUGUUACAUUGCUUAUUUUGUUGUGCAGUGACAUCUGUUUUCUGUUUAAAUGAAGUGAUUUGUUUAUACUUUUGAGAUAAUUACUGUAAGUUCUGUUGCUGGUUUAUCAAAUCGUGCUUUAGAGCAGAAAUAGAAACUUCUGUAAAUAGUCUCUUCGCUUUAAAGCAGAACUUGUUGUUGUAAUUAUCUCUUGCUUAAUAAAGUUCGGCAACUCCUCA
Eleginops maclovinus (Patagonian blennie) is the source of this 1999-nucleotide long non-coding RNA. RefSeq lists it as uncharacterized. NCBI's taxonomy places the organism in Eukaryota, Metazoa, Chordata, Actinopteri, Perciformes, Eleginopidae. The record is from RefSeq and is a predicted model, not a curated record. The transcript is spliced from 4 exons.